GACAGAGGGUGCAAACGUUGUUCGGAAUUACUGGGCGUAAAGCGCGUGUAGGCGGCUUGGCAAGUCGGGUGUGAAAGCCCCGGGCUCAACCUGGGAAGUGCACUCGAAACUGCUUCGCUGGAGUGCCGGAGAGGGAAGCGGAAUUCUCGGUGUAGAGGUGAAAUUCGUAGAUAUCAGGAGGAACACCUGCGGUGUAGACAGCUUUCUGGACCACUUCUGACGCUGAGACACGAAAGCGUGGGUAGCAAACAGG
Molecule: ribosomal RNA, 253 nt
Filed under: uncultured bacterium
Lineage: Bacteria
Description: partial 16S ribosomal RNA
Rfam family: Bacterial small subunit ribosomal RNA
Source: RNAcentral